UGAGUAACCUGCCCUUAACUCUGGGAUAAGCCUGGGAAACUGGGUCUAAUACCGGAUAUGACUCCUCAUCGCAUGGUGGGGGUGGAAAGCUUUUUGUGGUUUUGGAUGGACUCGCGGCCUAUCAGCUUGUUGGUGAGGUAAUGGCCCACCAAGGCGACGACGGGUAGCCGGCCUGAGAGGGUGACCGGCCACACUGGGACUGAGACACGGCCCAGACUCCUACGGGAGGCAG
RNAcentral lists this ribosomal RNA (232 nucleotides) under uncultured bacterium. RNAcentral's name for it is "partial 16S ribosomal RNA". It matches the Rfam family "Bacterial small subunit ribosomal RNA", at positions 118 to 351 of the family's 1533-position model. The record is from RNAcentral.